CACCGCUUUAAAUGAUCUCAGCAGAGAGAGAGCGAGAACACUUUCUAAAACAAUAAACUAAUCAACGUCGGAAACCGAAGAAACAACUCGCCUUACAGGGCACCGAAGGGCCAAUCGGGCCUCACGCAUUGACAGACAGUCUAAUGGGCAUCGCCGGUUGGUCCUCUUCUAACUGGACCUGAGCCCUAGGACCAUGCCUCAGGACUACCUGGCAUGAUGACUCCUUGCUGUCCCCAGUCCACCUGGCCGUGCUGCUGCUCCAGUUUCAACUGUUCUGGUCUGCGGCUAUGGAAUCCUGACCUGUUCACCGGACGUGCUACCUGUCCCAGACCUAUUAUUUGACCAUGCUGGUCAUUUAUGAACAUUUGAACAUCUUGGCCAUGUUCUGUUAUAAUCUCCACCCAGCACAGCCAGAAGAGGACUGGCAACUGGUUCCUCUCUAGGUUUCUUUCUAGGUUUUGGCCUUUCUAGGGAGCUUUUCCUAGCCAACGUGCUUCAACACCUGCAUUGCUUGCUGUUUGGGGUUUUAGGCUGGGUUUCUGUACAGCACUUUGAGAUAUUAGCUGAUGUACAAAGGGCUAUAUAAAUACAUUUGAUUUGAUUUUGAUUUCAUGUUUAUUUUGGCACUCUUUUUUUUAGACUUAGUCUAAUCUUAGUCAUUUUGACUAAAAUAUAAUUAACCACUUCUGGGAAAAUUGGGAAACACUAAACAAACAACAACACGAAGAGUUAUCUAUCCAAAAUAGAGAUGUAUGGGUAAACCACUUCUCCAAUCUUUUUGGCUGUAUGACAAAGAACCAACCGCAAAAACAUAUACAUGAUCAAAUACAAAUCUAAGAAUUAACUAUUAAAGAUGACCAGAACCCACUGGAUUAUCCAAUUACAUUGAAUGAACUACAGGACAAAGUACAAAACCCUCCAACGCAAAAAGGCCUGUGGUGUUGAUGGUAUCCUAAAUUAAAUGAUAAAAUAUACAGACCACAAAUUCCAAUUGGCAAUACUUAAACUUUUUAACAUCAUCCUUAGCUCUGGCUCAAUAUUUGGAACCAAGGACUGGUCACCCAAAUCCACGAAAGUGGAGACAAAUUUGACCCCAAUAACUACCGUGGGAUAUGCAUCAACAGCAACCUUGGGAAAAUCCUCUGCAUUAUCAUUAACAGCAGACUCAUACAUUUCCUCAGUGAAAACAAUGUACUGAGCAAAUGUCAAAAUGGCUUUUUACCAAAUUACCGUAUGACAGAGCACGUAUUCACCCUGCAAACACUCAUUGACAAAGAAACAAAACAAAACAAAGGCAAAGUCUUCUCAUGCUUUGUUGAUUUCAAAAAAGCUUUUGACUCAAUUUGGCAUGAGGGUCUGCUAUAAAAAAAAUGGUAAGUUGUGUUGGGUGGAAAACAUACGACAUCAUAAAAUCCAUGUACACAAACAAAAAAAGUGUGCGAUUAAAAUGUGCAAAAAACACAUUUUUUUCCACAGGGCCGUGGGGUGAGACAGGGAUGCAGUUUAAGCCUCCACUCUUCAACAUACAGUACCAUCAAAAGUUUGGACACGCCUACUCAUUCCAGGGUUUUUCAUGUCAGACCCACUUCACCAUCUGUUUUACACCACCGAAGAUCCCUCAUCCAUUAGGAUGAUCUACUGGGGGACUGGUAUUGGGUAUUAUUAUAUUAAAUAAUAGUAGUUGAGACUCUGUCUCCUAUGUAGGUGUAGGUUAACAAUACUUCCAGUGGAAUGUGGGGCUGGCCCAUAGAUAGAUAGAUAGAUAGAUAGAUAGAUAGAUAGAUAGAUAGAUAGAUAGAUAGAUAGAUAGAUAGAUAGAUAGAUAGAUAGAUAGAUAGAUAGAUAGAUAGAUAGAUAGAUAGAUAGAUAGAUAGAUAGAUAGAUAGAUAGAUAUAGAAUUACUAGAAAGGACAAAGCCCCUCAGACCCCAGCAAUUUGCCUGGAACACUCACAGUUUCACUCAAUGUGAAUGGGACUGUCUGUUCUAGUAAUUCUAUUUCUAUGGUGUGAAUUGUUUCCCACCCCGGGGCGAUAGCCCUGUAAUCCAGAUCUCUGGUUCAGAUUACAGCAGGGGGAUUAGGUCUGUCUGACUGGCUGCCUGCACCAAACACUCUGACGUCCACCAUCGCUCCCCACACGUCAUCAUAUCAAGUCCUCAUAUACCCCAAUGUAUAUUGGUAAGGGACUCCUAUUUCAGGAGUGUUGUUAAUCUGUCUUUGUUCCUAGUUCUUUACUAUGGCCAUUCAAAUACAACAAAUGUCCUUUUAACAGAUGUUACAAACGAUGUUCACUACCGUUCAAAAGUUUUGGGGUCACUUGGAAAUGUCCUUGUUUUCCAUGAAAUUAGUUACAAAAUGAAUAGGAAAUAUAGUUAAGACAAUGACAAGGUUAUAAAUAAUGAUUAUAAAUAUUAUACAUUAUAAAGGUUAUAAAUAAUGAUUUUGAACUGAAAUAAAAAUUGUGUCC
Oncorhynchus tshawytscha (Chinook salmon) is the source of this 2466-nucleotide long non-coding RNA. Lineage: Eukaryota; Metazoa; Chordata; Actinopteri; Salmoniformes; Salmonidae. The record is from Ensembl.